Long non-coding RNA from Xenia sp. Carnegie-2017, 645 nucleotides. RefSeq lists it as uncharacterized. The transcript is spliced from 3 exons. NCBI's taxonomy places the organism in Eukaryota, Metazoa, Cnidaria, Anthozoa, Malacalcyonacea, Xeniidae. The record is from RefSeq and is a predicted model, not a curated record.
GAAAAGUUGGAUGAAUGAGGGGUGUAGGAAAACUGCAUUUACUCCGUUAUUUUGUUGCAAAUGUAAACUGCGACAUCAAAUUUCGAAAUCAAUUCUAAACAGAGCAGAAGCGUGGAAAAUACGAAACGUUGUGCUUUUAAAAAGGUUUCCAUAUAUUUUAAAUGAAUUGAAAAACCUAGAAUAAAAUUGGUAAGCAUAUAUCACACAUUAUUCUUGUCUUUAAACCUCUACUGAUGUCAUUCAACAACUGUCAAAAAGAUGUAAUUUCUCACGAUGGGGAAAAUAUUUUGAACAAGAGCAUUUUAAAACUUACCGUUGGGCAAUUUUUGCUUAUCGACCUUCACACAAAGCAAAUUCUUAAAUUCUUAAUUUUUUGAAUCUUUAUGACUUCGAUUGACUGUUUUACGAUUCGAAUUGUGCGUAAAGUUGUUAUCUUUCUUGUUAGGUUGUCGUCAAACCAUUUUCACGUGAGAGCAGCUACUGGUGGCCAACUGAUAUUGUCUGGUCUUUCUCCGUAACACUAAAUGUCACAAACACUCGUCCUAGUCUACUUAGCAGUGGCACAAUUUUGCCAGAUAUGGCGUGUAUAGUUGUCAUGAGGCUUUUUAAACAACUAUAUUUUGGAGAUUUUGACUUAAAAGGCAA